Bubalus bubalis (water buffalo) is the source of this 211-nucleotide long non-coding RNA. RefSeq lists it as uncharacterized. The record is from RefSeq and is a predicted model, not a curated record. Lineage: Eukaryota; Metazoa; Chordata; Mammalia; Artiodactyla; Bovidae. The transcript has 2 exons.
CCCCUCCUCAUGACCGGCAAAGACUGGAAUGCUUCAACAAUCACAGCAGCACAUCAGGAGCCUGGACCAGACAGUUAAUGAGAUCGCGAAAACCAGAGAGUCCACAAGUACAAGCAAAGGCACCUUAUGACUGUAUUGCUGAAGCUCCAAUACUUUGGCCGCCUGAUGCGAAGAAUCGAUUUACUGGAAAAGACCCUGAUGCUGGGAAAUA